CAGGGAGGACCAGGUCUUCCCGGCCGGGCAGGAUUCCCAGGGCCUAUGGGACCAAAGGGAGAUACAGGAGAGCCUGGACAGCCAGGAUACGCAGCUAAGGGGGAGAAAGGAGAACCUGGUAUUAUCAUGGGGCCUGAUGGAAGACCCCUGUACCUGGGAGGGCUGA
This is a long non-coding RNA of Oncorhynchus keta (chum salmon), 166 nucleotides long. RefSeq lists it as uncharacterized. Lineage: Eukaryota; Metazoa; Chordata; Actinopteri; Salmoniformes; Salmonidae. The transcript has 3 exons. The record is from RefSeq and is a predicted model, not a curated record.